GAUGAACGCUGGCGGCGUGCCUAAUACAUGCAAGUCGAGCGAAUGGAUUGAGAGCUUGCUCUCAAGAAGUUAGCGGCGGACGGGUGAGUAACACGUGGGUAACCUGCCCAUAAGACUGGGAUAACUCCGGGAAACCGGGGCUAAUACCGGAUAAUAUUUUGAACUGCAUGGUUCGAAAUUGAAAGGCGGCUUCGGCUGUCACUUAUGGAUGGACCCGCGUCGCAUUAGCUAGUUGGUGAGGUAACGGCUCACCAAGGCAACGAUGCGUAGCCGACCUGAGAGGGUGAUCGGCCACACUGGGACUGAGACACGGCCAG
RNAcentral lists this ribosomal RNA (317 nucleotides) under uncultured bacterium. RNAcentral's name for it is "bacterial SSU rRNA". It matches the Rfam family "Bacterial small subunit ribosomal RNA", at positions 28 to 334 of the family's 1533-position model. The record is from RNAcentral.